RNAcentral lists this long non-coding RNA (277 nucleotides) under Brassica rapa (field mustard). RNAcentral's name for it is "long non-coding RNA (BRAP_LNC000513)". Lineage: Eukaryota; Viridiplantae; Streptophyta; Magnoliopsida; Brassicales; Brassicaceae. The record is from RNAcentral.
GCAGCUACAACAUCUUUCAGGAAAUUGUUGUAUUGAGGAAUCAACAUGAAAGCAUCGAUGAUGGGCAUUGCAACCUGAGCUUCACUCAUUUGCUUCUCAAACAGAGCUUUGUACUUCUCUAGCAGCUGCUUCUUGAAUCUACCAGGGAAUGGAAGUUUGGGUUCAUAGGGAGGAGGAACAAAAGAACUUUCACUUGCUGGAGUAACAACUUCACCAUCCUUUAUUGUCUUCUUCUUCUCUCCAACCUUUCCUUUACCUUUGGCUUCCACUAUCUUCU